RNAcentral lists this ribosomal RNA (253 nucleotides) under uncultured bacterium. RNAcentral describes it as "partial 16S ribosomal RNA". It matches the Rfam family "Bacterial small subunit ribosomal RNA", at positions 524 to 776 of the family's 1533-position model. The record is from RNAcentral.
UACGUAGGGUACUAGCGUUGUCCGGAGUUAUUGGGCGUAAAGCGCGCGUAGGCGGCGUGGUGCGUCGCACGUGAAAGCCCGCGGCUCAACCGCGGAGGGUCGUGCGAGACGGCCGCACUGGAGGCAGGGAGAGGCUGGUGGAAUUCCCGGAGUAGUGGUGAAAUGCGUAGAGAUCGGGAGGAACACCGGUGGCGCAGGCGGCCAGCUGGCCCUGACCUGACGCUGAGGCGCGACGGCGUGGGGAGCGAACGGG